RNAcentral lists this long non-coding RNA (792 nucleotides) under Homo sapiens (human). RNAcentral's name for it is "long non-coding RNA NONHSAT056003.2". Lineage: Eukaryota; Metazoa; Chordata; Mammalia; Primates; Hominidae. The record is from RNAcentral.
GGUUGGACCAAACCACGCUGAUCUGCACCAGGUUGUGCCAAACCACGCUGAUCUACUCCAGGUUGGACCAAACCAUGCUGAACUGCACCAGGUUGAGCCAAAUCACUCUGAUCUGCACCAGAUUGUACCAAACCAUGCUGAUCUGCACCAGGUUGCACCACAUCAAUCUGAUCUGCACCAGGUUGGACCAAGCCAGGCUGAUAUGCACCAGGCUGCACCAAAGCACGCUGAAAUCUGCCAGGUUGGACCAUGCCAGGCUGAUCUACACCAGGCUGUACCAAGACACCCUGACCUGUGCCAGAUUGGACCAAAUCAUGCUGACCUGUGCCAGGCUGGAUCAAACCAUGCUGAUCUCUACCAGGUUGGGCCAAACCAGACUGAUCCAUUCCAGGCCAGACCAAACCACGCUGAUCUGCACCAGGUUGGGCCAAACCAGACUGAUCCAUUCCAGGCCGGACCAAACCACGCUGAUCUGCACCAGGUUGGACCAAGCCAGGCUGAUAUGCACCACGCUGCACCAAAGCACGCUGAAAUCUGCCAGACUGGAUCAAAUCAUGCUGCUCUGUGCCAGGUUGUAUGAAGCCAGUUGCUUCCAAACUGGGCUGCACAAAACCUUGCUGAUCUGCACUAAUUGGCAUCAAACCAGGUGAUACCAAACCAUGCUGGUCUGUAAAAGGUAGAACCAGGCCAUGUUGAUCGACGACAGGCAAUGUCAAUCCUUGCUGGUCUAUACCAGGGGGUACUAGUCCUUGCUGACCCAUGCCUGAUAUUACACAUCCACGCUGAUCCAUG